GACGAACGCUGGCGGCGUGCUUAACACAUGCAAGUCGAACGGAAAGGCCCUGCUUUUGUGGGGUGCUCGAGUGGCGAACGGGUGAGUAACACGUGAGUAACCUGCCCUUGACUUUGGGAUAACUUCAGGAAACUGGGGCUAAUACCGGAUAGGAGCUCCUGCUGCAUGGUGGGGGUUGGAAAGUUUCGGCGGUUGGGGAUGGACUCGCGGCUUAUCAGCUUGUUGGUGGGGUAGUGGCUUACCAAGGCUUUGACGGGUAGCCGGCCUGAGAGGGUGACCGGCCACAUUGGGACUGAGGUACGGCGCAGACUCCUACGGGAGGCAGAAGUGGGGAAUAUUGCACAAUGGGCGGAAGCCUGAUGCAGCAACGCCGCGUGCGGGAUGACGGCCUUCGGGUUGUAAACCGCUUUCGCCUGUGACGAAGCGUGAGUGACGGUAAUGGGUAAAGAAGCACCGGCUAACUACGUG
Molecule: ribosomal RNA, 468 nt
Filed under: uncultured bacterium
Lineage: Bacteria
Description: partial 16S ribosomal RNA
Rfam family: Bacterial small subunit ribosomal RNA
Source: RNAcentral